GCUCAGAAACUUCAAUGAAGUUGACGGGGGCCCGCACAAGCGGUGGAGUAUGUGGUUUAAUUCGAUGCAACGCGAAGAACCUUACCUGGUCUUGACAUCCCGGAGACCCUUAGGAAACUAGGGGUGCUUCCAUCUGGAAGAAUCUGGAGACAGGUGCUGCAUGGCUGUCGUCAGCUCGUGUCGUGAGAUGUUGGGUUAAGUCCCGCAACGAGCGCAACCCUUGCCUUUAGUUGCCAGCAGUUCGGCUGGGCACUCUAAAGGGACUGCCGGUGUUAAACCGGAGGAAGGUGGGGAUGACGUCAAGUCCUCAUGGCCUUUAUGACCAGGGCUACACACGUACUACAAUGGCCGAUACAAAGGGCAGCGACACUGCGAGGUGAAGCCAAUCCCGUAAAAUCGGUCUCAGUCCGGAUUGGAGUCUGCAACUCGACUGCAUGAAGCCGGAAUCGCUAGUAAUCGCAGAUCAGCCAAGCUGCGGUGAAUACGUUCCCGGGCCUU
RNAcentral lists this ribosomal RNA (498 nucleotides) under uncultured Desulfobulbus sp. RNAcentral's name for it is "bacterial SSU rRNA". It matches the Rfam family "Bacterial small subunit ribosomal RNA", at positions 891 to 1382 of the family's 1533-position model. The record is from RNAcentral. Lineage: Bacteria; Pseudomonadati; Thermodesulfobacteriota; Desulfobulbia; Desulfobulbales; Desulfobulbaceae.